Oxyura jamaicensis (ruddy duck) is the source of this 1340-nucleotide long non-coding RNA. RefSeq lists it as uncharacterized. Lineage: Eukaryota; Metazoa; Chordata; Aves; Anseriformes; Anatidae. The record is from RefSeq and is a predicted model, not a curated record. The transcript is spliced from 3 exons.
CCAUCUGCUCAUCGUUGCUGCAGCUCGUGACUUGCCUUGGCCACUGCCGUGCUCCAUUGUCUCUGUGCUCAGCCCUUCCCUUCUGCUCCAGGACACGGAGGCACGGCCGGUCCCCUGACUGCAGGGUGUCUCUAUCCACGGGGACAUAUCCCGAGGACCAGCACAGCAGUGGGCUGGUUUUGUUACUACAGGUGGACAACGCUUUUCCAGGCAGCCUGAUGCCUCCGGGGAACGCUGUGUUUUUAAUGCCACUCGGCUUUCACGAAUUGCUCCAGCAAGACGCUCUACCAAAAAAGGCAAGAAAACUUCUUUCAUGUCAGUCAAGAGUUUUUAUUUUUUGGUGAUGACAAACUCAGAAAAGAGGAGUAUUGGAGACGCGGGCAAUCUGCAGUUUGGUUAAACAGCAACGAAACAAAACCUACAAGUGACAACUUGCUCGGUAGAGAGUUUGCUGGCACUGGCUGGGCAGCAAGAGAGACCCCAAAUUCAGCCCCAUGGGAAAAUGACUGCUGGAAAUGACUGAAUCCUGGAUAUAACCUGAAUUUUGUGCCAGUGCAGGCUGCGUGCACAGUGCACCGUUGGGCUCACACAGUUGGGAAGAGUCAUUUUAACUCCUGCGAGUGCUGACACUGCUCUUUUGGGUCCUGGUCCAGUCAGGCUGGAGCCUAGGGUUAACCAGCUCCCUGCUGGGGCUCUCAUUAGGAGCAGCAGAGGCACUGCUGUUCCUGUAUGCCUCUCUAUACAUCUGUUUCUGUGUUGCAGAGGAGCCUUGCCAAGAACACCCCAAUUUACUUAGCUCUCACGUCUGAUUUUAUUUGAAGUCUCUCAGACCCUCACCCUUGGGGCUGGCCAGAUCACUGGAGCAGGAGUCACAAGAUUUAUUAAAAGCAAAAAAAAAAAAAAAAAAAAAAAAAAAAAAAAAAAAGCUGAUUAGACAAAACUGCUGAAAAUCUCCAGGAAUUAAUUUGCAGACAAGAUGCGAUUGCUUCCCAGAAUGGCAUCUUUCCAGCUGCAGUGUCCCUAUCACUCCAGUCAGUGAUGGGACAGAUUAGGCACUGGAUUUCUGCCAGCUGAUACACUGGAGCUUUUUGAUUUAUGAGAAAUGUUGCAAUUUGGUAGGGCUUGGCCAUUCCUCUGAACUUUGCAUGAGCGUAUUGCCAGAUUUUGGCAAGUUUGCACCUUGGUAAAGAGUUGCGUGCUGUUCAAAAUCCACACGACCGCAGCAAUGACACCUUUAUUUAUAAAUGUCACCCACACGUAGUUGGUGAACGGAGAAGGCAAUUGUAUUUCAGCCUGAGAAGAGAGAGCUGGGCUACACCUGGGGGGUGGGAGAGAGGCAG